RNAcentral lists this long non-coding RNA (1619 nucleotides) under Mus pahari (shrew mouse). RNAcentral describes it as "predicted gene, 26878 (MGP_PahariEiJ_G0005192.1)". The record is from RNAcentral. Lineage: Eukaryota; Metazoa; Chordata; Mammalia; Rodentia; Muridae.
AAGAGAACGGAUAAAAAGACUUUGAAGAAGGUGGAGAAGAUUUUUUUUGUCCACAGAGACAUGGUGGGAGUCCGAGGAUGGAUAGCUAGAGCCGGGCAGCUCCUGUGUCAUACAGUGAAGCUGUGUCAGGACCUGGUUCUUGUGGUGACACGGCUUGCCUCCCUCGCAGCUGUUAGCAACCCCGUCUCUUCUGCUGAGAGGAAAGAACAGUGGUGACACCAAGGUCUCCGGAGUGGGAGACACCUUUGCACCCACACCUAUGGCUUCAACUUCACCAGAAGAAGUGCUAAUCCACCGGCAUUUGCAACUGGUUCCCGACACCUUCCUGCCCCCUCAGGAGCAGGGUUGUCACUCAGAGCAAUUAUAUUCCCAGCAACAAGUUCCACCUGUUGCUCUUCCCACCACUGCCAGGAGGUGGGUGAGCUCUCCUCCAUACUGCUGUCUCUCUCUGAAACUGUAGAGAGAAGCAGAAUCUGGGCCCCCUGUAUUCUAAAGCAAAGAGAGGCCACCUUCUGUCCAGCCCAGUGCAGGAGGAGAGGCUGGAGUCACUUUUCAGUGUGUCUGUCUGCCCUUCCGUUCCACUUGUGGACAGUGAGCAGGAGCCCGACACCCUUUUUUGCUGAGGGUAGGGAGUUGUUGAUGACUCCGAGUGAGCAGAGUGGGCUUCUCACUCGUCCCCCAGCCAGCAGGGCUCCCAUGUCAUUGUGGUGGGACAGAAACCUUGAGCAGGACCUCAGAGCGUCUGGGUGACCGAGCCACCACCCAGUUGGGGCUUCUGUGUAAAUGGCUAAUCACGCUGCCUGCUAGCUGAAGAGACUCAGACCGACCGCAGAGCCCUGUGUGGCGUGAGACGCCUGUGAACCCCCGGACUCUGCUAAUUGGGGUGCCCUUCUGUCUCCAGGAUGUCCUGCUCUUUAUCUGAGUUGAAGAGAUAAGGAAGGUAGCUGGGCUGCUCUGAGCAGCCCCUGCUGGACAGGCCCUGCGUGUUGGCUCCAGGUUCCCUGCCGCCCACUUCCUCAGAAAACACUGGAGUCCUGGAGCUCUGGGGUGUGUGGGGAGCCAGGAGCGUCUCUAAAAUCAGGCUGACAGUACCCGAGUGAGCAAAGGUCACCGUUCCGUCACUGGGCAAGUCCUCCCUCNAAGAUACUGAUGGGUUUCGUCUGUGGAACUGAGAUGCAGGUUGGUUCCCCCAAAUCAAAUCGUUACCAGAAAAUAAGGUAACCUUGCGUUUCUAAGGACCAAGACUUAAUGUGGGGUGUCCUUGGAGAUGGGAGAAAUCAAGUCAAACUCACCAAGUUUGGUCCACUCAUCAGGGGGGUGGGGGUGGGGGGUGUGACGAGGAAAAACAAAUAGAAGAUAGGGAGUGGAGGGAAUCUUGUUUUCUAAGAUUAAAUGGUAUUGAAAGUGAGAUGCUUUUGCACACUAAAUUAAGCAAGGGAGGCAGGUUUUCAAUAUUUAUAGCCUCCACAUGUCUAAAAGUCCAGACCCAAACCAACAUACAUCCCUGAUCAUGAAGUUUCCCCCCCUUAUCCAAAUAUAAAAUGUAUUGUAUGUUAUAUUGACUUCAGGACUAAAUCUUUCCCUUAUAAGGUGUUUGAAAUAAAUGGCUUUUAUUAUGG